This 497-nucleotide ribosomal RNA is filed under the name uncultured bacterium. RNAcentral's name for it is "partial 16S ribosomal RNA". It matches the Rfam family "Bacterial small subunit ribosomal RNA", at positions 28 to 507 of the family's 1533-position model. The record is from RNAcentral.
GAUGAACGCUGGCGGCGUGCCUAAUACAUGCAAGUCGAGCGAACGGACGAGAAGCUUGCUUCUCUGAUGUUAGCGGCGGACGGGUGAGUAACACGUGGAUAACCUACCUAUAAGACUGGGAUAACUUCGGGAAACCGGAGCUAAUACCGGAUAAUAUUUUGAACCGCAUGGUUCAAAAGUGAAAGACGGCCUUGCUGUCACUUAUAGAUGGAUCCGCGCUGCAUUAGCUAGUUGGUAAGGUAAUGGCUUACCAAGGCAACGAUGCAUAGCCGACCUGAGAGGGUGAUCGGACAAACUAGAACUGAGACACGGUACAGACUCGUACGGGAGGCAGCAGUAGAGAAUCUUCCGCAAUGGGCGAAAGCCUAACGGGGCAACGCCGCGUGAGUGAUGAAGGUCUUCGGAUCGUAAAACUCUGUUAUUAGGGAAGAACAUAUGUGUAAGUAACUGUGCACAUCUUGACGGUACCUAAUCAGAAAGCCACGGCUAACUCCGUG